This 252-nucleotide ribosomal RNA is filed under the name uncultured bacterium. RNAcentral describes it as "partial 16S ribosomal RNA". It matches the Rfam family "Bacterial small subunit ribosomal RNA", at positions 524 to 776 of the family's 1533-position model. The record is from RNAcentral.
UACGUAGGGGGCUAGCGUUGUCCGGAUUUAUUGGGCGUAAAGAGCGUGUAGGCGGCUUGGCAAGUCUGCUGUGAAAACUCGAGGCUCAACCUCGAGCUGUCGGUGGAAACUGCUUGGCUAGAGUCCGGAAGAGGAGGGUGGAAUACCCAGUGUAGAGGUGAAAUCGUAGAUAUUGGGUGGAACACCGGUGGCGAAAGCGGCUCUCUGGUCCGGACCUGACGCUGAGGCGCGAAAGCGUGGGGAGCAAACAGG